GAGUUUGAUCCUGGCUCAGAUUGAACGCUGGCGGCAGGCCUAACACAUGCAAGUCGAGCGGAAACGAGUUAACUGAACCUUCGGGGAACGUUAACGGCGUCGAGCGGCGGACGGGUGAGUAAUGCCUGGGAAAUUGCCCUGAUGUGGGGGAUAACCAUUGGAAACGAUGGCUAAUACCGCAUAAUAGCUUCGGCUCAAAGAGGGGGACCUUCGGGCCUCUCGCGUCAGGAUAUGCCCAGGUGGGAUUAGCUAGUUGGUGAGGUAAUGGCUCACCAAGGCGACGAUCCCUAGCUGGUCUGAGAGGAUGAUCAGCCACACUGGAACUGAGACACGGUCCAGACUCCUACGGGAGGCAGCAGUGGGGAAUAUUGCACAAUGGGCGCAAGCCUGAUGCAGCCAUGCCGCGUGUAUGAAGAAGGCCUUCGGGUUGUAAAGUACUUUCAGCAGUGAGGAAGGUGGGUAUGUUAAUAGCAUAUUCAUUUGACGUUAGCUGCAGAAGAAGCACCGGCUAACUCCGUGCCAGCAGCCGCGGUAAUACGGAGGGUGCGAGCGUUAAUCGGAAUUACUGGGCGUAAAGCGCAUGCAGGUGGUUUGUUAAGUCAGAUGUGAAAGCCCGGGGCUCAACCUCGGAAUUGCAUUUGAAACUGGCAAACUAGAGUACUGUAGAGGGGGGUAGAAUUUCAGGUGUAGCGGUGAAAUGCGUAGAGAUCUGAAGGAAUACCGGUGGCGAAGGCGGCCCCCUGGACAGAUACUGACACUCAGAUGCGAAAGCGUGGGGAGCAAACAGGAUUAGAUACCCUGGUAGUCCACGCCGUAAACGAUGUCUACUUGGAGGUUGUGGCCUUGAGCCGUGGCUUUCGGAGCUAACGCGUUAAGUAGACCGCCUGGGGGAGUACGGUCGCAAGAUUAAAACUCAAAUGAAUUGACGGGGGGCCCGCACAAGCGGUGGAGCAUGUGGUUUAAUUCGAUGCAACGCGAAAAACCUUACCUACUCUUGACAUCUACAGAAAGCCAGCGGAAGACGCAGGGGGUGCCUUCGGGAACCUUGUUAAGAAACAGGGGGGCCUGCCAAUGGGGGCCUUG
RNAcentral lists this ribosomal RNA (1083 nucleotides) under uncultured bacterium. Its description in RNAcentral is "bacterial SSU rRNA". It matches the Rfam family "Bacterial small subunit ribosomal RNA", at positions 9 to 1069 of the family's 1533-position model. The record is from RNAcentral.